This 433-nucleotide ribosomal RNA is filed under the name uncultured bacterium. Its description in RNAcentral is "partial 16S ribosomal RNA". It matches the Rfam family "Bacterial small subunit ribosomal RNA", at positions 29 to 507 of the family's 1533-position model. The record is from RNAcentral.
AACGAACGCUGGCGGCAUGCCUAACACAUGCAAGUCGAACGAGACCUUCGGGUCUAGUGGCGAACGGGUGCGUAACGCGUGGGAACCUGCCCUUAGGUUCGGAAUAACUCCCCGAAAGGGGUGCUAAUACCGGAGAAUGUCUUCGGACCAAAGAUUUAUCGCCUUUGGAUGGGCCCGCGUUGGAUUAGCUAGUUGGUAGGGUAAAAGCCUACCAAGGCGACGAUCCAUAGCUGGUCUGAGAGGAUGAUCAGCCAAACUGGGACUGGGACACGGCCCAGACUCCUACGGGAGGCAGCAGUGGGGAAUAUUGGACAAUGGGCGAAAGCCUGAUCCAGCAAUGCCGCGUGAGUGAUGAAGGCCUUAGGGUUGUAAAGCUCUUUUACCCGGGAUGAUAAUGACAGUACCGGGAGAAUAAGCUCCGGCUAACUCCGUG